This 253-nucleotide ribosomal RNA is filed under the name uncultured archaeon. Its description in RNAcentral is "partial 16S ribosomal RNA". It matches the Rfam family "Archaeal small subunit ribosomal RNA", at positions 474 to 727 of the family's 1478-position model. The record is from RNAcentral.
UACCAGCUCUCCGAGUGGUGGGGACGUUUAUUGGGCCUAAAGCAUCCGUAGCUGGCUGAGUUAGUCCCCUGUUAAAUCCACCGAAUUAAUCGUUGGAUUGCGGGGGAUACUGCUCGGCUAGGGGACGGGAGAGGCAGACGGUAUUUUCGGGGUAGGGGUGAAAUCCUAUAAUCCCGGGAAGACCACCAGUGGCGAAGGCUGUCUGCUAGAACGCGCCCGACGGUGAGGGAUGAAAGCUGGGGGAGCGAACCGG